RNAcentral lists this ribosomal RNA (250 nucleotides) under uncultured bacterium. RNAcentral's name for it is "partial 16S ribosomal RNA". It matches the Rfam family "Bacterial small subunit ribosomal RNA", at positions 524 to 773 of the family's 1533-position model. The record is from RNAcentral.
UACGGAGGGGGCUAGCGUUGUUCGGAAUUACUGGGCGUAAAGCGAGCGUAGGCGGUUUGGUAAGUUAGGUGUGAAAGCCCGGGGCUCAACCCCGGAACUGCACUUAAAACUGCUGGGCUAGAGGCCGAGAGAGGUGAGUGGAAUUCCCAGUGUAGAGGUGAAAUUCGUAGAUAUUGGGAAGAACACCAGUGGCGAAGGCGGCUCACUGGCUCGGAUCUGACGCUGAGGCUCGAAAGCGUGGGGAGCAAAC